This 324-nucleotide long non-coding RNA is filed under the name Setaria viridis. Its description in RNAcentral is "long non-coding RNA (SVIR_LNC003619)". Lineage: Eukaryota; Viridiplantae; Streptophyta; Magnoliopsida; Poales; Poaceae. The record is from RNAcentral.
AAGGUGCAGGUGCAGAUGACGUAAAGUUUAGGUUUCCUGUAGAAACACUUCCUAUUCAUAGAUACAGUUGGAACUCAGAUUAGAUAAGUUUCAAAGAACCAAUAAAUUGUUUGAUGCUGAAAAUAACAAAUUAAGAUAUGCAAGUGAGGGAACUUCACCUUCAUAUAGUGAUUUCAAUUGGUAAAGAGGGGAAAGGGCUUUUUGCGAAACUUUGCUACUCUUGGGUGAUUCUAUUGAAUGUAAUAGAAAAGGAUAAUUAGUUAACAGAUCAAUAGUGAUAAGAUGCACAUUCAUUCAUCCUCCUCUUCCCUUCCUCCCCUUCCU